UCAUAUUUUAAAUGUUUGCAUGUGUGCUU
RNAcentral lists this non-coding RNA (29 nucleotides) under Rattus norvegicus (Norway rat). Lineage: Eukaryota; Metazoa; Chordata; Mammalia; Rodentia; Muridae. The record is from RNAcentral.